This 462-nucleotide ribosomal RNA is filed under the name uncultured bacterium. RNAcentral describes it as "bacterial SSU rRNA". It matches the Rfam family "Bacterial small subunit ribosomal RNA", at positions 28 to 507 of the family's 1533-position model. The record is from RNAcentral.
GACGAACGCUGGCGGCGUGCUUAACACAUGCAAGUCGGACGGUUUGCGCUGGAAGGUUCGCUGGAAGGCGCAGAUAGUGGCGGACGGGUGAGUAACGCGUGAGGACAUGUCUGCAGGAGGGGGAUAACGUUUGGAAAAGGACGCUAAGACCCCGUAAGCCGGGAGGUAAAAGUGGCGAAAGCCAGCCUGUGGAGUGACUCGCGUCCUAUCAGCUAGUUGGCGGGGUGAAGGCCCACCAAGGCGAUGACGGGUAGCCGACCUGAGAGGGUGGCCGGCCACACUGGAACUGAGAUACGGUCCAGACUCCUACGGGAGGCAGCAGUGGGGAAUAUUGCACAAUGGGCGCAAGCCUGAUGCAGCGACGCCGCGUGGGGGAUGACGGCCUUCGGGUUGUAAACCUCUUUCGACUCCGAAGAAGCGUAAGUGACGGUAGGGGUAGAAGAAGCACCGGCUAACUACGUG